GGAGAACAGUCAGGAACAGGUGAUUUUUGAUUCGGUGUCUCGCCAGAAGAGGUGAAGUCAGACAACUCAACUGAAGAUGUGUCCUGAGGACUGCCAUGACCUGACAACAGCUGAUCUACAUGUCGCUGCCAGGUGUUUUGUGGUCACCAUAUUCUCAACACUUCAAGAAUGAAGCUUGCUGACCAAAGGACUGUUCUUUCCAUUGCUGAACCUGUUGACCCAUUCCACCAGCUGAAAGGAAGCAACCAGCUUUGAUGCCUUAAAAACAGAGGAUGACCAUUUUGAGGGGGAAGCAGCAAGAUGAGCAGACAAAAUCUCAAGAACAACACUCCUGUUUUAUAAGUGUCCCCGGUGACUAACGGAGAACAGUGAAAAAGAAAAUAUAGAAAGUAUUUAUACUACUGUGGUACCUUAAGUGCCUUACAAAAUUACCUAUAAUCCAGAGAGAGGGUCUGUACAGAGAGAUGGCAUUUUCUUUAGAAGGGUUAUUGAUUAUUUACAGAACACCAUAGAUGCACAUAUGGCACACAUGCAGAAUUGUUUCUCUGAAACAGAAUAUUUUCCUAAGUUUUCCCAGGGCCUUAUGUCAUUUUAGAAAUAUCACAUCAUAAAAUUCACACUACACCAGAUCCUACAAUUUAUUUAUUUGGUUUAAACUUUUCCCAGCUGAAAUCCCUGGUGAUCUCAAAUGACAAAGCAUGAAUGCAAAUACAUCAUCUGGAGAUGCACAGAACAAUUUAACUUCUUCAUAGGCGGAAUAAGAUGAUAGAAUGUAAACUCACAACUACAGUGGCAAUCUACCUCAUGUAAGAAGUGCAGGGUGUAUUACACUAUGUCAAAAGCAAGUCUUGCUCAGUUAGAAACAAGAGCAAACUGAUAGAAUUUUAGACUAAUUGGUCAUAAAGCCAGUCAUCCUGUUAUGAGCUAUUACUGUCUGUGAGCUGCAAAGACAAGCUGUAUACCUAUUAAAAUGUCCUUAUACCUGUUAAACUCAAUCACAAUUGCUGUCACCAUGAACACGCAUCUUGUUAUCUAGUGUGCUCAUGCAGCGAUACAAGGCAUUCACUGUCCCAAGAAGAAACAAAGCUAUACAACCUUCAAGUGAUACGAAUCUUGAAAUUAAUAGGAUAUACGAGUGACAG
Caretta caretta (loggerhead turtle) is the source of this 1142-nucleotide long non-coding RNA. RefSeq lists it as uncharacterized. The record is from RefSeq and is a predicted model, not a curated record. NCBI's taxonomy places the organism in Eukaryota, Metazoa, Chordata, Testudines, Cheloniidae.